GGGGAUUUAGCUCUGCGGCAUAAGCACCUGCCUUGCAAGCAGGUGGUCGUUGAGUUUAAUCCCCG
Molecule: transfer RNA, 65 nt
Organism: Cavia porcellus (domestic guinea pig)
Lineage: Eukaryota; Metazoa; Chordata; Mammalia; Rodentia; Caviidae
Rfam family: tRNA
About the family: Transfer RNA (tRNA) molecules are approximately 80 nucleotides in length. Their secondary structure includes four short double-helical elements and three loops (D, anti-codon, and T loops).
Source: Rfam